AGUCGAACGAGAGAUGAAGAGCUUGCUCUUCAAAUCGAGUGGCGAACGGGUGAGUAACGCGUGAGGAACCUGCCUCAAAGAGGGGGACAACAGUUGGAAACGACUGCUAAUACCGCAUAAGCCCACGGCUCGGCAUCGAGCAGGGGGAAAAGGAGCAAUCCGCUUUGAGAUGGCCUCGCGUCCGAUUAGCUAGUUGGUGAGGUAACGGCCCACCAAGGCGACGAUCGGUAGCCGGACUGAGAGGUUGAACGGCCACAUUGGGACUGAGACACGGCCCAGACUCCUACGGGAGGCAGCAGUGGGGAAUAUUGCACAAUGGGGGAAACCCUGAUGCAGCGACGCCGCGUGGAGGAAGAAGGUCUUCGGAUUGUAAACUCCUGUUGUUGAGGAAGAUAAUGACGGUACUCAACAAGGAAGUGACGGCUAACUACGUGCCAGCAGCCGCGGUAAAACGUAGGUCACAAGCGUUGUCCGGAAUUACUGGGUGUAAAGGGAGCGCAGGCGGGAGAACAAGUUGGAAGUGAAAUCCAUGGGCUCAACCCAUGAACUGCUUUCAAAACUGUUUUUCUUGAGUAGUGCAGAGGUAGGCGGAAUUCCCGGUGUAGCGGUGGAAUGCGUAGAUAUCGGGAGGAACACCAGUGGCGAAGGCGGCCUACUGGGCACCAACUGACGCUGAGGCUCGAAAGUGUGGGUAGCAAACAGGAUUAGAUACCCUGGUAGUCCACACCGUAAACGAUGAUUACUAGGUGUUGGAGGAUUGACCCCUUCAGUGCCGCAGUUAACACAAUAAGUAAUCCACCUGGGGAGUACGACCGCAAGGUUGAAACUCAAAGGAAUUGACGGGGGCCCGCACAAGCAGUGGA
RNAcentral lists this ribosomal RNA (863 nucleotides) under uncultured bacterium. Its description in RNAcentral is "bacterial SSU rRNA". It matches the Rfam family "Bacterial small subunit ribosomal RNA", at positions 60 to 936 of the family's 1533-position model. The record is from RNAcentral.